GGCGGACGGGUGAGUAACGCGUAGGAAUCUGCCUAGUAGUGGGGGACAACAUGUGGAAACGCAUGCUAAUACCGCAUACGCCCUGAGGGGGAAAGGAGGGGAUCUUCGGACCUUUCGCUAUUAGAUGAGCCUGCGUGAGAUUAGCUAGUUGGUGAGGUAAAGGCUCACCAAGGCGACGAUCUCUAGCUGGUCUGAGAGGAUGAUCAGCCACACUGGGACUGAGACACGGCCCAGACUCCUACGGGAGGCAGCAGUGGGGAAUAUUGGACAAUGGGCGCAAGCCUGAUCCAGCCAUGCCGCGUGUGUGAAGAAGGCCUUAGGGUCGUAAAGCACUUUCAGGAGUGAGGAAGGGUGUACGGUUAAUACCCGUAUAUUUUGACGUUAGCUCCAGAAGAAGCACCGGCUAACUCUGUGCCAGCAGCCGCGGUAAUACAGAGGGUGCAAGCGUUAAUCGGAAUUACUGGGCGUAAAGCGCGC
This 477-nucleotide ribosomal RNA is filed under the name uncultured Marinomonas sp. RNAcentral describes it as "bacterial SSU rRNA". It matches the Rfam family "Bacterial small subunit ribosomal RNA", at positions 97 to 570 of the family's 1533-position model. The record is from RNAcentral. Lineage: Bacteria; Pseudomonadati; Pseudomonadota; Gammaproteobacteria; Oceanospirillales; Oceanospirillaceae.